GGAUUGUGGCUUAGCGGUAGAGAGCUUGCCUUGCACAUGAGAGGCCCUGGGUUCGAUCCUCAGCACCA
RNAcentral lists this transfer RNA (68 nucleotides) under Marmota monax (woodchuck). Its description in RNAcentral is "tRNA.Ala". Lineage: Eukaryota; Metazoa; Chordata; Mammalia; Rodentia; Sciuridae. The record is from RNAcentral.